Molecule: ribosomal RNA, 596 nt
Filed under: uncultured Bacteroidota bacterium
Lineage: Bacteria; Pseudomonadati; Bacteroidota
Description: bacterial SSU rRNA
Rfam family: Bacterial small subunit ribosomal RNA
Source: RNAcentral
CAACUUACCUAUCAGAGGGGGAUAGCCCGGCGAAAGUCGGAUUAAUACCCCAUGAAACAGGGGUCCCGCAUGGGAAUAUUUGUUAAAGAUUCAUCGCUGAUAGAUAGGCAUGCGUUCCAUUAGGCAGUUGGCGGGGUAACGGCCCACCAAACCGACGAUGGAUAGGGGUUCUGAGAGGAAGGUCCCCCACAUUGGUACUGAGACACGGACCAAACUCCUACGGGAGGCAGCAGUGAGGAAUAUUGGUCAAUGGCCGAGAGGCUGAACCAGCCAAGUCGCGUGAAGGAAGAAGGAUCUAUGGUUUGUAAACUUCUUUUAUAGGGGAAUAAAGUGGAGGACGUGUCCUUUUUUGUAUGUACCCUAUGAAUAAGCAUCGGCUAACUCCGUGCCAGCAGCCGCGGUAAUACGGAGGAUGCGAGCGUUAUCCGGAUUUAUUGGGUUUAAAGGGUGCGUAGGUGGUGAUUUAAGUCAGCGGUGAAAGUUUGUGGCUCAACCAUAAAAUUGCCGUUGAAACUGGGUUACUUGAGUGUGUUUGAGGUAGGCGGAAUGCGUGGUGUAGCGGUGAAAUGCAUAGAUAUCACGAAGAACUCCGAUUG